This 468-nucleotide ribosomal RNA is filed under the name uncultured bacterium. RNAcentral describes it as "partial 16S ribosomal RNA". It matches the Rfam family "Bacterial small subunit ribosomal RNA", at positions 28 to 507 of the family's 1533-position model. The record is from RNAcentral.
GAUGAACGCUGGCGGCGUGCUUAACACAUGCAAGUCGAACGGAAAGGCCCUGCUUUUGUGGGGUGCUCGAGUGGCGAACGGGUGAGUAACACGUGAGUAAACUGCCCUUGACUUUGGGAUAACUUCAGGAAACUGGGGCUAAUACCGGAUAGCAGCUCCUGCUGCAUGGUGUGGGUUGGAAAGUUUCGGCGGUUGGGGAUGGACUCGCGGCGUAUUAGCUUGUUGGUGGGGUUGUGGCUUACCAAGGCUUUGACGGGUAGCCGGCCUGAGAGGGUGACCGGCCAAAUUGGGCCUGAGAUACGGCCCAGACCACAACGGGAGGGAGCAGUGGGGAAUAUUGCACAAUGAGCGGAAGCCUGAUGCAGCAACGCCGCGUGCGGUAUGACGGCCUUCGGGUUGUAAUCCGAAUUCGCCUGUGACGAAGCGUGAGUGACGGUAAUGUGUAAAGAAGCACCGGCUAACUACGUG